GAUGAACGCUGGCGGCGUGCCUAAUACAUGCAAGUCGAGCGAACAGACGAGGAGCUUGCUCCUCUGACGUUAGCGGCGGACGGGUGAGUAACACGUGGAUAACCUACCUAUAAGACUGGGAUAACUUCGGGAAACCGGAGCUAAUACCGGAUAAUAUAUUGAACCGCAUGGUUCAAUAGUGAAAGACGGUUUUGCUGUCACUUAUAGAUGGAUCCGCGCCGCAUUAGCUAGUUGGUAAGGUAACGGCUUACCAAGGCGACGAUGCGUAGCCGACCUGAGAGAGUGUUCGGCCACACUGGAACUGAGACACGGUCCAGACUCCUACGGGAGGCAGCAGUAGGGAAUCUUCCGCAAUGGGCGAAAGCAUGACGGAGCAACGCCGCGUGAGUGAUGAAGGUCUUCGGAUCGUAAAACUCUGUUAUUAGGGAAGAACAAAUGUGUAAGUAACUAUGCACGUCUUGACGGUACCUAAUCAGAAAGCCACGGCUAACUACGUG
This 497-nucleotide ribosomal RNA is filed under the name uncultured bacterium. RNAcentral describes it as "partial 16S ribosomal RNA". It matches the Rfam family "Bacterial small subunit ribosomal RNA", at positions 28 to 507 of the family's 1533-position model. The record is from RNAcentral.